Long non-coding RNA from Lolium perenne, 1559 nucleotides. RefSeq lists it as uncharacterized. The record is from RefSeq and is a predicted model, not a curated record. NCBI's taxonomy places the organism in Eukaryota, Viridiplantae, Streptophyta, Magnoliopsida, Poales, Poaceae.
UUAAACUCUGUCCUUCAUACGCAUCUUAAUUCGCAGAUGACAUUAUUUAAAAUGCUAGAGCAUUAUGAGCGUUGUCUUUCGACACGACGCUUGAAUGAGACGGUCCUAAACAUCGUGUCCUUGCAGUCCGUUCCAUAUACAGAGCCGGAUGCUUCAAGUCUUGAGGUACACGCUGCAAUGGUUUUCACAUCUAGUGUGUUUAAGUUGGUCAGAUAUAGCUUAGAUGCUGUCAGCAAAUGUUUUAUGAGCAAUAUACUAGAUGGAAGUGACCUAGAUGGAUCCGACUUGGUUACGUUUGUUGUGGCUAAGAAGGAUAGAUGAGAGAAGAAGUUUGAAGUGCGCUGUGUGGAGAAACAAGGCUCUCCGUACAGGAUCAGUUGCUCUUGCCGUAAGCUGGAAUGCGUAGGCACACCAUGCUCCCACAUACUGUACGUAUUAGGAACAAUUAAAGCAAAAGAACUUCCUAUGUGCUGUGUUCCCACCAGGUGGACGAUGAGUGCAAGGUCUGCAUACCCUCUUCCGAGCAGAAAUAGUGGCAUGUAUGACUAUUCGAAAAGCCCGAUGAGGUACCGUGAGUUGCGGAAAUUGAGUCAUGCGGCAUGUUUCAGGGCAUGUCAGUCGGACGAGGCGUACCAUCGUCUUGAGAUGGUUCUGAAAGCACCAGACGACAGCAUGGAAUCAACUAGUGGUCAGAAUGAAUCUAUUAGGUUUGGCCCGGUGCUGCCUCUAACUGAGCAAACUGUUCCUGGGGAUUUGGGGAAGGUUCUGGAUCCCUUGUGUGUGCAAGGCCGAGGUGCGCCGAAGAAAAGGCUGCAGGCAAAGAUGAAGAAGCCAAGAUCAAAGGGCAAAUGUGGCUAUUGCGGGGACGAGGGUCACAAUGUUCGUACAUGCAAAAAGUUGAAAGAGGUAGAAAAUAUAUCUGAUCUUGUUUCGUGUGUGUGCAUUAGUCAUUAAUGUGGUGUGUGCCAUUAAUGGUUGCUUCUGUUGUGUAGGACAACAAGCUACGAGAAGAAGCUUUAUGACGAGUGCAUUUGAAGUCUGAUCGUAGAGGUAUUAUUCUUGUCUGAUCUCUGUGCUUCACUUUCUAUCAACUUGUCAGUGAUUUCAAGAAAAAAGAAAAAGAAAACAUGUUAUCUCUGUAUAGGUGGAAGCAUCUUGCGUAAAUUUUAAUUUCAAUAACUUUGGCUAGUUCAUCACUUAUAAAUUUGUUUUGUGUUUGCUUGAACAUAUUUACCAGCUUGUUCAUUGUAAAAAUUUCAGAGGGUUCAUUGGUGCCCACCUCGCUGUUUCUUGCUUUCCUGCAAUGGGGAGGGAGGACCAACUUCAUCCUCGCCCUUCUCCAGCAAAUCCCUGAGGUUCAGGGCAGUCCGUGUGUGUUUAUAACGUUUAUGUCUUGCUGCUCCUAUUUGUUAUCGUCUAAAUACUGCUAGAUCAUACUUUGUGAAACAUUUAUAACGUUUAUGUCUUGCUGCUCCUAUCUGGUUGUGCUUUGGGGUAUUUUUGUGCUGUACAAUGAAAAACCAUAGGUAGAAAUAAUGAUUGAUUUAAUUCUUUUGUAA